This 490-nucleotide ribosomal RNA is filed under the name uncultured bacterium. RNAcentral describes it as "partial 16S ribosomal RNA". It matches the Rfam family "Bacterial small subunit ribosomal RNA", at positions 29 to 507 of the family's 1533-position model. The record is from RNAcentral.
AGUGAACGCUGGCGGUAGGCCUAACACAUGCAAGUCGAACGGCAGCACAGGAGAGCUUGCUCUCUGGGUGGCGAAUGGCGGACGGGUGAGGAAUACAUCGGAAUCUGCCCAGUCGUGGGGGAUAACGUAGGGAAACUUACGCUAAUACCGCAUACGACCUUCGGGUGAAAGAGGGGGAUCGCAAGACCUCUCGCGAUUGGAUGAGCCGAUGUCGGAUUAGCUAGUUGGCGGGGUAAUGGCCCACCAAGGCGACGAUCCGUAGCUGGUCUGAGAGGAUGAUCAGCCACACUGGAACUGAGACACGGUCCAGACUCCUACGGGAGGCAGCAGUGGGGAAUAUUGGACAAUGGGCGCAAGCCUGAUCCAGCCAUACCGCGUGGGUGAAGAAGGCCUUCGGGUUGUAAAGCCCUUUUGUUGGGAAAGAAAUCUUUCAGGCUAAUACCCUGGGAGGAUGACGGUACCCAAAGAAUAAGCACCGGCUAACUUCGUG